GGGCGCUCUUAAAAUGUAACCUCAGAGACCGGUUCCGGCCAGGAACGGGAAGUGCCUCAUUAUACCCGCUGGCAUUAACAUCAACACAGACCUUACUGAUAAGAAUCAUUUACCAUCUAUUCUCUGAAGCCUGCGACCUUUUCUCUCCAUAAUCCCUUAUCUUAACCCAGACAUUUCCUUUCUAUUGAUUCCAGGUUUUUAGAUAAACUCAACCAAUUGUCAACAAGAAAAUUUGUAAAUCUACCUAUAAGCCGGAAGCGCCCCCCACCUUCGAGUUGUCCCACCUUUCUGGACCGAACCAAC
RNAcentral lists this long non-coding RNA (303 nucleotides) under Homo sapiens (human). RNAcentral describes it as "long non-coding RNA NONHSAT245906". The record is from RNAcentral. Lineage: Eukaryota; Metazoa; Chordata; Mammalia; Primates; Hominidae.